UACAGAGGGUGCGAGCGUUAAUCGGAGUGACUGGGCGUAAAGGGCGCGUAGGCGGUUAUAUUAGUCUGAUGUGAAAGCUCUGGGCUUAACCUGGGAUAGGCAUUGGAAACGGUAUAGCUAGAGAGUGUGAGAGGGAAGGGGAAUUUCCGGAGUAGCGGUGAAAUGCGUAGAUAUCGGAAAGAACACUAGUGGCGAAGGCGACUUUCUGGCACACAACUGACGCUGAGGCGCGAAAGCGUGGGUAGCGAACAGG
Molecule: ribosomal RNA, 253 nt
Filed under: uncultured bacterium
Lineage: Bacteria
Description: partial 16S ribosomal RNA
Rfam family: Bacterial small subunit ribosomal RNA
Source: RNAcentral